This 65-nucleotide transfer RNA is filed under the name Potamophylax rotundipennis. RNAcentral's name for it is "tRNA-Asp". Lineage: Eukaryota; Metazoa; Arthropoda; Insecta; Trichoptera; Limnephilidae. The record is from RNAcentral.
AAAAAGUUAGUUAAAUUAUAACCUAAACUUGUCAAGUUUAAAUUAUUACAAAAUAAUACUUUUUU